UUGUAAAUCUGUAGGCCCCUCAGAAUGGAGCUAACUCCCAUCCUUCGUUCUGCAGCCGAGGCUCGCUGCCCCAGGACGGGCAGUGAGUCAGUGGGCC
This is a non-coding RNA of Tupaia belangeri (northern tree shrew), 97 nucleotides long. Lineage: Eukaryota; Metazoa; Chordata; Mammalia; Scandentia; Tupaiidae. The record is from Rfam.